UAGGGAAUCUUCGGCAAUGGGGGGAACCCUUGACCGAGCAACGCCGCGUGAGUGAAGAAGGUUUUCGGAUCGUAAAGCUCUGUUGUUAAGGAAGAACGAGUGUGAGAAUGGAAAGUUCACACUGUGACGGUAUCUUACCAGAAAGGGACGGCUAACUACGUGCCAGCAGCCGCGGUAAUACGUAGGUCCCGAGCGUUGUCCGGAUUUAUUGGGCGUAAAGCGAGCGCAGGCGGUUAGAUAAGUCUGAAGUUAAAGGCUGUGGCUUAACCAUAGUACGCUUUGGAAACUGUUUAACUUGAGUGCAAGAGGGGAGAGUGGAAUUCCAUGUGUAGCGGUGAAAUGCGUAGAUAUAUGGAGGAACACCGGUGGCGAAAGCGGCUCUCUGGCUUGUAACUGACGCUGAGGCUCGAAAGCGUGGGGAGCAAACAGGAUUAGAUACCCUGGUAGUCCACGCCGUAAACGAUGAGUGCUAGGUGUUAGACCCUUUCCGGGGUUUAGUGCCGCAGCUAACGCAUUAAGCACUCCGCCUGGGGAGUACGACCGCAAGGUGG
RNAcentral lists this ribosomal RNA (551 nucleotides) under uncultured bacterium. RNAcentral describes it as "bacterial SSU rRNA". It matches the Rfam family "Bacterial small subunit ribosomal RNA", at positions 355 to 896 of the family's 1533-position model. The record is from RNAcentral.